This 484-nucleotide ribosomal RNA is filed under the name uncultured bacterium. RNAcentral's name for it is "partial 16S ribosomal RNA". It matches the Rfam family "Bacterial small subunit ribosomal RNA", at positions 30 to 507 of the family's 1533-position model. The record is from RNAcentral.
AUUGAACGCUGGCGGAAUGCUUUACACAUGCAAGUCGAACGGCAGCACGGGGGCAACCCUGGUGGCGAGUGGCGAACGGGUGAGUAAUACAUCGGAACGUGCCCGGUCGUGGGGGAUAACGUAGCGAAAGUUACGCUAAUACCGCAUACGAUCUGAGGAUGAAAGCGGGGGACCUUCGGGCCUCGCGCGAUCGGAGCGGCCGAUGUCAGAUUAGGUAGUUGGUGGGGUAAAGGCCUACCAAGCCGACGAUCUGUAGCUGGUCUGAGAGGACGACCAGCCACACUGGGACUGAGACACGGCCCAGACUCCUACGGGAGGCAGCAGUGGGGAAUUUUGGACAAUGGGCGCAAGCCUGAUCCAGCCAUUCCGCGUGCAGGACGAAGGCCUUCGGGUUGUAAACUGCUUUUGUAUGGAACGAAAAGGCUCUGGCUAAUACCUGGGGCUCAUGACGGUACCGUAAGAGUAAGCACCGGCUAACUACGUG